RNAcentral lists this ribosomal RNA (450 nucleotides) under uncultured bacterium. RNAcentral describes it as "bacterial SSU rRNA". It matches the Rfam family "Bacterial small subunit ribosomal RNA", at positions 29 to 524 of the family's 1533-position model. The record is from RNAcentral.
AACGAACGCUGGCGGCAUGCCUAACACAUGCAAGUCGAACGAGACCUUCGGGUCUAGUGGCGCACGGGUGCGUAACGCGUGGGAAUCUGCCCUUGGGUUCGGAAUAACAGCGAGAAAUUGCUGCUAAUACCGGAUGAUGACGUAAGUCCAAAGAUUUAUCGCCCAAGGAUGAGCCCGCGUAGGAUUAGCUAGUUGGUGAGGUAAAGGCUCACCAAGGCGACGAUCCUUAGCUGGUCUGAGAGGAUGAUCAGCCACACUGGGACUGAGACACGGCCCAGACUCCUACGGGAGGCAGCAGUGGGGAAUAUUGGACAAUGGGCGAAAGCCUGAUCCAGCAAUGCAGCGUGAGUGAUGAAGGCCUUAGGGUUGUAAAGCUCUUUUACCCGGGAUGAUAAUGACAGUACCGGGAGAAUAAGCUCCGGCUAACUCCGUGCCAACAGCCGCGGUAAU